GUGGGGAAUAUUGGACAAUGGGCGAAAGCCUGAUCCAGCAAUGCCGCGUGAGUGAUGAAGGCCCUAGGGUUGUAAAGCUCUUUUACCCGGGAUGAUAAUGACAGUACCGGGAGAAUAAGCUCCGGCUAACUUCGUGCCAGCAGCCGCGGUAAUACGAGGGGAGCUAGCGUUGUUCGGAAUUACUGGGCGUAAAGCGCGCGUAGGCGGUUUUUUAAGUCAGAGGUGAAAGCCCGGGGCUCAACCCCGGAAUUGCCUUUGAAACUGGAAAACUAGAAUCUUGGAGAGGUCAGUGGAAUUCCGAGUGUAGAGGUGAAAUUCGUAGAUAUUCGGAAGAACACCAGUGGCGAAGGCGACUGACUGGACAAGUAUUGACGCUGAGGUGCGAAAGCGUGGGGAGCAAACAGGAUUAGAAACCCUGGUAGUCC
RNAcentral lists this ribosomal RNA (425 nucleotides) under uncultured bacterium. RNAcentral's name for it is "bacterial SSU rRNA". It matches the Rfam family "Bacterial small subunit ribosomal RNA", at positions 354 to 796 of the family's 1533-position model. The record is from RNAcentral.